RNAcentral lists this ribosomal RNA (550 nucleotides) under uncultured bacterium. RNAcentral describes it as "bacterial SSU rRNA". It matches the Rfam family "Bacterial small subunit ribosomal RNA", at positions 355 to 896 of the family's 1533-position model. The record is from RNAcentral.
UAGGGAAUCUUCCGCAAUGGACGAAAGUCUGACGGAGCAACGCCGCGUGAGUGAAGAAGGAUUUCGGUUCGUAAAACUCUGUUGUUAGAGAAGAACAGCGCAUAGAGUAACUGUUAUGCGUGUGACGGUAUCUAACCAGAAAGCCACGGCUAACUACGUGCCAGCAGCCGCGGUAAUACGUAGGUGGCAAGCGUUGUCCGGAUUUAUUGGGCGUAAAGCGAGCGCAGGCGGUCAAUUAAGUCUGAUGUGAAAGCCCCCGGCUCAACCGGGGAGGGUCAUUGGAAACUGGUUGACUUGAGUGCAGAAGAGGAGAGUGGAAUUCCAUGUGUAGCGGUGAAAUGCGUAGAUAUAUGGAGGAACACCAGUGGCGAAGGCGACUCUCUGGUCUGUAACUGACGCUGAGGCUCGAAAGCGUGGGUAGCAAACAGGAUUAGAUACCCUGGUAGUCCACGCCGUAAACGAUGAGUGCUAAGUGUUGGAGGGUUUCCGCCCUUCAGUGCUGCAGUUAACGCAUUAAGCACUCCGCCUGGGGAGUACGACCGCAAGGUUG